AGAAAACAAGAGAGUCUAGGAGAGAGAGAAGGAAGGUAGUUGUUUAAAGCAUGUUUCGGAACCGAACAGAAUGAUGAUGAUCGAGUUAAUGGGACCUGCACCUUUCAGUUGAGAUGGAUGUAGCAAUCACCAACCAUUUCAAUUUGUCUAUUUCCUUCUUUCACUUGGGAGCAAAGCCUCUGUCACCAUCACUUACACCUUCUUCUUCCUUGUUCCGCUUUUCACGACCAUGAUCCUCUGCUUCACGCUUACUCUCGGAUCUCAGUCGCAGAUCCACCUUCAACGUUCACCACCUUUUCAAUCUUUCUCAUGGAUCCCUCUACUUCUCGUCCAGCUGUAGUCAUCGAUAAUGGCUCCGGUUAUACUAAGAUGGGGUUUGCUGGUAAUGUUGAGCCAUGUUUUAAUGUUCCGACAGUGGUUGCAAUUAACGAGUCCUUUCUUAAUCAAUCGAGGAAUUCCUCUAAAGGCAAUUGGGUUGCCCAGCACAAUGCUGGCGUAAUGGCAGAUCUUGAUUUCUUCAUUGGGGAUGAGGCCCUCUCCAAAUCUCGAUCUAGCAGCACUUAUAAUCUCAGCUACCCAAUUCAGCAUGGCCAGGUUGAGAAUUGGGAUGCCAUGGAGCGCUUCUGGCAGCAGUGCAUAUUCAACUAUUUGAGGUGUGAUCCAGAGGAUCACUAUUUUCUCUUGACGGAGAGUCCAUUGACUUCGCCAGAGAGUCGCGAGUAUACUGGGGAAAUCAUGUUUGAGACUUUUAACGUACCUGGACUUUACAUUGGUGUGAAUUCUGUGCUUGCUCUUGCAGCUGGUUACACAACAUCUAAGUGCGAGAUGACUGGAGUUGUAGUGGAUGUUGGAGAUGGGGCUGCUCAUGUUGUACCUGUUGCAGACGGCUAUGUUAUUGGCAGUAGCAUCAAAUCGAUUCCCAUUUCUGGAAAGGAUAUUACUCUUUUUGUGCAGCAGCUUAUGCGGGAAAGAGGAGAGAAUGUACCACCAGAAGACUCUUUUGAAGUGGCACGGAAAGUGAAGGAAAUGUAUUGCUACACCUGCUCUGACAUUGUGAAGGAAUUUAAUAAGCAUGACAAAGAGCCAGCCAAGUAUAUCAAGCACUGGAGAGGUAUUAAACCAAAGACGGGGGCACCAUAUUCCUGUGAUAUUGGCUAUGAACGAUUUCUUGGCCCUGAGAUUUUCUUUAAUCCUGAGAUAUAUGGCAGUGACUUUACCACCCCUUUGCCAGUUGUAAUAGACAAGUGCAUUCAGUCUGCGCCAAUUGACACAAGGAGAUCAUUAUACAAGAAUGUAGUGUUGUCUGGAGGUUCAACCAUGUUCAAGGAUUUUCACAGGAGGUUGCAACGUGAUCUAAAAAAAAUAGUGGAUGCUCGUGUCCUUUUAUCUGAAGCGCGCUUGAAUGGGGAGAUAAAAGUAAGAGUUAAUAGUCGCAGCCAGUGGAGGUAAAUGUACUCAGCAAUCCAAUCCAGAGAUAUGCAGUUUGGUUUGGAGGAUCAGUGCUUGCGUCAACACCUGAUUUUUUUACGGCUUGUCAUACAAAGGCAGAAUAUGAGGAGUAUGGAGCAAGCAUUUGCCGGACAAAUCCUGUUUUCAAGGGAAUGUAUUAAAUCAACAACAAAUUAGUUGAUUAUCGAUGCAGUUAUAUGAUAAGACUGUUGAAUGAAACAGCUGGUUAUCGUUAUCCUCAAUUCACUUCCUGGGCUUUCUUCCCACCUAUAUUCAGGGUGGCAGAAGUGAGUGUAAAAUAUGUGUAUUAAGUGAAAAUAUGCGUUUGUUUUUAUUCCAUUCCUAGGUAGUCAGUUUCACAGGGUUAAUACAGCUGUCAGCAGAUCCAGACGAUACUUAAUGGUUAGAUAGAAUUUGAUCUUUGACAAAGCUGGUUGAGCUGAAUUGCAAAUUUUGGGGUUCAGCUUAGAGUUUGAUGAAGUUCUGCAUUUUUUGUCAUUCAUUGAUGGGACUGAUAAUACCAUGAAGCACUUUUCUAGGUAGUAAGUUAAAUUCAUUUUGAUUGAAUUGUAAUAAGCACCAGUGCAGGUUAGAUUUAUGUUUACGCUAAAUCGUGAUUCAUAUAUUUUUGCACUUUUGGGUACAUAAUGUACAAUUGUAUUUUGUUUACUGAUGAUCAAAGCCAGAAAUAAUUUUUUUGCCA
Molecule: RNA transcript, 2152 nt
Organism: Glycine soja
Lineage: Eukaryota; Viridiplantae; Streptophyta; Magnoliopsida; Fabales; Fabaceae
Gene name: actin-related protein 3-like
Exons: 9
Source: RefSeq, a predicted model, not a curated record